GAAUCUUGCUGCUCCCCAUGCACCCCAAAGGCUCCUGGUAGCACACGGCACUCGGAGUCACUCAGCAUCACGUGGCACUUGGACCAGCCUGGUCCUGCAGGCAGAUCUGGUGCUCACCUGCCCUUCUUGCUGAAUUAACUUCCCAAGCCUCUUAGCAAUACCUCUGCUGCCCUUGGGAAAGUUCACAGUAAUUGGCAAGGCUCAGAUUCUGAGACAAUGGGUACCCCUUCUUACUGAAAAUGCCUUGGAGGUUGGCACCCUCUGGCCACUGCUGUUCUGGUGAUGCUCUAG
RNAcentral lists this long non-coding RNA (291 nucleotides) under Vulpes vulpes (red fox). RNAcentral's name for it is "lncRNA (ENSVVUG00000017425.1)". The record is from RNAcentral. Lineage: Eukaryota; Metazoa; Chordata; Mammalia; Carnivora; Canidae.